GAUGAACGCUAGCGGCGUGCUUUAUGCAUGCAAGUCGAACGAUUUCGAUUUAUCGAGAUAGUGUGCGAACGGGUGAGUAACACGUAAGCAACCUGCCCCUAAGUAGAGGAUAACUCUGAGAAAUUGGAGCUAAUACUGUAUGUGGUGGUGGGGGUAAGGCUCCAUCACUAAAGCCUUCGGGUGCUUGGGGAGGGGCUUGCGUCCGAUUAGCUAGUUGGUAAGGUAACGGCCUACCAAGGCGACGAUCGGUAGCUGGUUUAAGAGGAUGUCCAGCCACAUUGGGACUGAGACACGGCCCAGACUCCUACGGGAGGCAGCAGCAAGGAAUAUUGUGCAAUGGGCGAAAGCCUGACACAGCGACACCGCGUGGGGGAUGACGGCCUUCGGGUUGUAAACCCCUUUUCCCAGGGAAGAAUAAUGACGGUACCUGGGGAAUAAGUCUUGGCUAACUACGUGCCAGCAGCCGCGGUAAUACGUAGAAGGCAAGCGUUAUCCGGAUUUAUUGGGCGUAAAGAGGGUGUAGGCGGUUCUUCAAGUCGGAUGUAAAAUCUCCCGGCUCAACUGGGAGGGAUCAUUCGAUACUGUUGGGCUAGAGUGCAGCAGGGGGAGAUGGAAUUCCCGGUGUAGUGGUGAUAUGCGUAGAUAUCGGGAGGAACACCUGUGGCGAAGGCGGUCUUCUGGGCUGUUACUGACGCUGAGACCCGAAGGCGUGGGGAGCGAACAGGAUUAGAUACCCUGGUAGUCCACGCAGUAAACGAUGGACACUAGGUAUGGGGGGUAUCGACCCCCUCCGUGCCGAAGUUAACGCAUUAAGUGUCCCGCCUGGGGAGUACGGUCGCAAGACUAAAACUCAAAGGAAUUGACGGGGGCCC
Molecule: ribosomal RNA, 872 nt
Filed under: uncultured bacterium
Lineage: Bacteria
Description: bacterial SSU rRNA
Rfam family: Bacterial small subunit ribosomal RNA
Source: RNAcentral